CCAAGUUGUUCCAUUGUGAAUCUUCAAAAUCCAAAGCCAGUAGAAAUCAGGGAUUUUGCCUCUGUUGAUAGAUCAUAAAAAAAAUUAAUUACAGCUUGAACGGGCAAACCGAGGCCGCUUUUCCAUAUUUUUUACGUCUUCAAACUAAGCCAAAAACCAAUCACCAACGGGGUAUUUUGACUAAAGAUUUUCCCGUUAUGAACUUAUAACAUAGUCAUAUGUCUAAAUAAUCUGCUGCUGAUUGGAUUU
Molecule: non-coding RNA, 249 nt
Organism: Paramuricea clavata
Lineage: Eukaryota; Metazoa; Cnidaria; Anthozoa; Malacalcyonacea; Plexauridae
Source: the annotation of a GenBank genome assembly